CAAAUAUACAAAAAAAGCAAGCGAAGAAGAAAAUAUUGAAACAACACAUAUGCUCGCAUAUAUACAGCACUUCCUUCUUUUAGUCGUUAAUUUCUCCCCUUCUUCUGUCA
This 110-nucleotide non-coding RNA is filed under the name Protocruzia adhaerens. The record is from RNAcentral. Lineage: Eukaryota; Ciliophora; Spirotrichea.